RNAcentral lists this unclassified non-coding RNA (339 nucleotides) under soil metagenome. RNAcentral's name for it is "partial contains 5.8S ribosomal RNA, internal transcribed spacer 2, and large subunit ribosomal RNA". The stretch from base 1 to 120 matches the Rfam family "5.8S ribosomal RNA", at positions 35 to 154 of the family's 154-position model. The record is from RNAcentral.
GAUGAAGAACGUAGCGAAAUGCGAUAACUAAUGUGAAUUGCAGUAUUCAGUGAAUCAUCGAGUCUUUGAACGCACAUUGCGCCCCCUGGUAUUCCGGGGGGCAUGCCUGUCCGAGCGUCAUUGCUGCCCUCAAGCACGGCUUGUGUGUUGGGCUCCGUCCCCCCGGGGACGGGCCCGAAAGGCAGCGGCGGCACCGAGUCCGGUCCUCGAGCGUAUGGGGCUUUGUCACCCGCUCUGUAGGCCCGGCCGGCGCCAGCCGACAACCCAUCAUCCUUUUCAGGUUGACCUCGGAUCAGGUAGGGAUACCCGCUGAACUUAAGCAUAUCAAUAAGCGGAGGA